AGCAGCCGCGGUAAUUCCAGCUCCAAUAGCGUAUAUUAAAGUUGUUGCAGUUAAAAAGCUCGUAGUUGAAUUUCGGAAUCUGUCCGUUGGUCGGGCUUCAUUGUCCGUACUGAUGUGAUGGGUUCUUACCUUCUGAAUAACCAGCAUGUCAUUAAUUUGGUGCGUUGGGGAAGCAGGACUAUUACCUUGAAAAAAUUAGAGUGCUCAAAGCAGGCUAGUGCCUGAAUACAUUAGCAUGGAAUAAUAAAAUAGGACGGCAUGGUUCUAUUUUGUUGGUUUCUAGGAUCACCGUAAUGAUUAAUAGGGAUAGUUGGGGGCAUUAGUAUUCAGUUGUCAGAGGUGAAAUUCUUGGAUUUAUUGAAGACUAAACCUUCUGCGAAAGCAUUUGCCAAGGGUGUUUUCAUUAAUCAAGAACGAAAGUUAGGGGAUCGAAGACGAUCAGAUACCGUCGUAGCUUAAACCAUAAACUAUGCCGACUAGGGAUCGGACGAUGUUAAUUUUANAAUGACUCGUUC
This 515-nucleotide ribosomal RNA is filed under the name uncultured Acaulospora. RNAcentral's name for it is "SSU rRNA". It matches the Rfam family "Eukaryotic small subunit ribosomal RNA", at positions 569 to 1081 of the family's 1831-position model. Lineage: Eukaryota; Fungi; Glomeromycota; Glomeromycetes; Diversisporales; Acaulosporaceae. The record is from RNAcentral.